Papaver somniferum (opium poppy) is the source of this 534-nucleotide long non-coding RNA. RefSeq lists it as uncharacterized. Lineage: Eukaryota; Viridiplantae; Streptophyta; Magnoliopsida; Ranunculales; Papaveraceae. The transcript is spliced from 4 exons. The record is from RefSeq and is a predicted model, not a curated record.
CUUUUCUUUUUUUAUUCUCUUCUCACUAUGUUCUCAGUCUCGCUCCCCCCUCUCGAUGAAUCAUUCAGUUCUCACUUCUCAAAUAAUUAAUUUUUCAAUCAGGAAGGUGGUGAGCUCCUCCUGCCCUGCGGCUGCAGGUUGUGAUGUUGCAGAAAGGGGUAAUCCAGGAAAUGAAGGUGGUGAGCUCCUCCUGCCCUGCGGCUGCAGGUUGCGAUGUUGCAGAAAGGGGUAAUCCAGGAUAUAUACGGAAAUCGUGGACUGAAGUGAAGUUAAUGCAAUGAUACAACAUACCAGGCAGCCAAGCAAGAUCACACUAAGUUACACUACUCACUAGCGUGCUGACAUUGUUAGCCUCUGUGACUGUUAGGCAUUGGUUUUUUGGUUUUUUGGCUUUAUUAUAGCAUGUUGUGUACUUUCUUUUGCAUUCACUGGACUGAGAGUAAACUCUUUAACUCUAAACAUUGUGCUUUUGUGGGUUUGUACUUUUCACGGAACAUUUUGAACUUAAAAAGACAAAGACUCUAUUUUUUUCGA